UUGGAGGGCAAGUCUGGUGCCAGCAGCCGCGGUAAUUCCAGCUCCAAUAGCGUAUAUUAAAGUUGUUGCAGUUAAAAAGCUCGUAGUUGAACCUCGGGAUCAAUGGGUCGGUCAUGCCCUCGGUAUGUACUGACCUCAUUGGUUCUCACCUUCUAAGGAACCUUAAUGUCAUUAAUUUGAUGUUUUGGGGAAUUAGGACUGUUACCUUGAAAAAAUUAGAGUGUUUAAAGCAGGCUAACGCUUGAAUACAUUAGCAUGGAAUAAUGAAAUAGGACAUCGCAUUCUAUUUUGUUGGUUUCUAGGAUCGAUGUAAUGAUUAAUAGGGAUAGUUGGGGGCAUUAGUAUUCAAUUGUCAGAGGUGAAAUUCUUGGAUUUAUUGAAGACUAACUACUGCGAAAGCAUUUGCCAAGGAUGUUUUCAUUAAUCAAGAACGAAAGUUAGGGGAUCGAAGACGAUCAGAUACCGUCGUAGUCUUAACCAUAAACUAUGCCGACUAGGGAUCGGAUGAUGUUAAUUUUUUAAUGACUCAUUCGGCGCCUUACGGGAAAC
Molecule: ribosomal RNA, 549 nt
Filed under: uncultured Glomus
Lineage: Eukaryota; Fungi; Glomeromycota; Glomeromycetes; Glomerales; Glomeraceae
Description: SSU rRNA
Rfam family: Eukaryotic small subunit ribosomal RNA
Source: RNAcentral